CCUACGGGAGGCAGCAGUGGGGAAUAUUGGACAAUGGGGGCAACCCUGAUCCAGCCAUGCCGCGUGUGUGAAGAAGGCCCUCGGGUUGUAAAGCACUUUCAGUGAGGAAGAACGCCUGGUGGUUAAUACCCAUCAGGAAAGACAUCACUCACAGAAGAAGCACCGGCUAACUCCGUGCCAGCAGCCGCGGUAAUACGGAGGGUGCGAGCGUUAAUCGGAAUUACUGGGCGUAAAGCGCGCGUAGGUGGCUUGAUAAGCCGGUUGUGAAAGCCCCGGGCUCAACCUGGGAACGGCAUCCGGAACUGUCAAGCUAGAGUGCAGGAGAGGAAGGUAGAAUUCCCGGUGAAGCGGUGAAAUGCGUAGAGAUCGGGAGGAAUACCAGUGGCGAAGGCGGCCUUCUGAACUGACACUGACACUGAGGUGCGAAAGCGUGGGUAGCAAACAGGAUUAGAUACCCCGGUAGUC
RNAcentral lists this ribosomal RNA (465 nucleotides) under Vreelandella stevensii. RNAcentral's name for it is "partial 16S ribosomal RNA". It matches the Rfam family "Bacterial small subunit ribosomal RNA", at positions 338 to 795 of the family's 1533-position model. The record is from RNAcentral. Lineage: Bacteria; Pseudomonadati; Pseudomonadota; Gammaproteobacteria; Oceanospirillales; Halomonadaceae.